UACGGAGGAUCCAAGCGUUAUCCGGAUUUAUUGGGUUUAAAGGGUGCGUAGGCGGCCCAUUAAGUCAGGGGUGAAAUACGGCAGCUCAACUGUCGCAGUGCCUUUGAUACUGAUGGGCUUGAAUGCGGAUGAGGUAGGCGGAAUGAGACAAGUAGCGGUGAAAUGCAUAGAUAUGUCUCAGAACUCCGAUUGCGAAGGCAGCUUACUAAGUCGUGAUUGACGCUGAUGCACGAAAGCGUGGGGAUCAAACAGGAUUAGAUACCCUGGUAGUCCACGCCCUAAACGAUGAUAACUCGAUGUCGGCGAUAUACCGUCGGUGUCUUAGCGAAAGCGUUAAGUUAUCCACCUGGGGAGUACGCCCGCAAGGGUGAA
This 372-nucleotide ribosomal RNA is filed under the name Sphingobacterium sp. Its description in RNAcentral is "bacterial SSU rRNA". It matches the Rfam family "Bacterial small subunit ribosomal RNA", at positions 524 to 898 of the family's 1533-position model. RNAcentral also lists the same sequence under 1 other name. Lineage: Bacteria; Pseudomonadati; Bacteroidota; Sphingobacteriia; Sphingobacteriales; Sphingobacteriaceae. The record is from RNAcentral.